This 250-nucleotide ribosomal RNA is filed under the name uncultured bacterium. RNAcentral's name for it is "partial 16S ribosomal RNA". It matches the Rfam family "Bacterial small subunit ribosomal RNA", at positions 524 to 773 of the family's 1533-position model. The record is from RNAcentral.
AACGUAGGGGGCGAGCGUUAUCCGGAUUUACUGGGCGUAAAGCGCAUGUAGGCGGUAUGGCAAGUUGGCCGUGAAAGCUCCCGGCUUAACUGGGAGAGGUCGGUUGAAACUGCCAGACUGGAGGUUGGAAGAGGAGAGUGGAAUUCCCGGUGUAGUGGUGGAAUGCGUAGAUAUCGGGAGGAACACCAGUGGCGAAAGCGGCUCUCUGGACCAAACCUGACGCUGAGAUGCGAAAGCGUGGGGAGCAAAC